This is a long non-coding RNA of Peromyscus leucopus (white-footed mouse), 920 nucleotides long. RefSeq lists it as uncharacterized. The record is from RefSeq and is a predicted model, not a curated record. NCBI's taxonomy places the organism in Eukaryota, Metazoa, Chordata, Mammalia, Rodentia, Cricetidae. The transcript is spliced from 3 exons.
GCUCCAGUCGAUUCCGUGCAAUAAAAAUAUCUCAGUAUCCAGCAUGAACUGGAGCUGCUGGAGAGGAGCGAUAAACAAAUAAAUGAAGGGACGCCUAACGCUAAGAGCUUGAGAAACAAUGCGGACACUCUGGCUGCCCUGCUGCCCUGGUGGAGAGCGAGCAGCACUGGAGGAAACCGAAUAGGCGGAGACGUUGCAGAAACCACAUCCCGUCUGGUGACGUCAAUGGGCUCUGGCCAAUCCCAAGGAGAGAACAGUCAAGCUGACAGUUUCCAUUAUGAUUUAACAAGCAUGCCAGAAUCUAAGUAGAACAGGAUUGUAAUGGUGUUGUUUAAGGAGCCUGAAAACACCUAGAGAGGGGAAGCUGUCAUAACUGAGGACAGGCAUCCUGAGGACAAGGCAGGAGGACAUGUUGAAGACCCACAAGCUCCAGGCCACUGUCAGCCCAGCACUGACCCAGCCCCAUGGUCUCCUCCCUCCAUUCUCUUCCAAUAUCAAGAAUGACUCACUGAGGGAAGAAAGACGCCUUCUCUUAAGCUUGUGCAAAUACAUAUAAUAGAUAUCUCUGAGCUACAGCAGACGAGACAAAAGAUAAAGCUCAUAAAAUACAAGGACUGCUUCAGAAAACCUCUUGGGUGAGAGGUACCUGGGGGAAUUUUUAAAUCUUGACAUGAAGACAGUCCUAGAAGUUCAAAUGUAGCGUGAGACUCAUCAAGAAUGAAAGCAUCUCUGACAUUCUAUCUAAAAAAGACCAACCUGAAAAAACAGACUUCAAUCAGGAAAGCGGCUUCACACAGGAUGGGGCCAGGCUGGUCCUACCUGCACAGACUCCAGAUCUUUGGGAAGCAUGUCGUGGCAGAGGACCUCACCAUGGAAAUCACUCUGCUCUGUGGCCAUGAAUAAAAAAAAUUCAAAAUGUC